This 571-nucleotide long non-coding RNA is filed under the name Anser brachyrhynchus (Pink-footed goose). Its description in RNAcentral is "lncRNA (ENSABRG00000006661.1)". The record is from RNAcentral. Lineage: Eukaryota; Metazoa; Chordata; Aves; Anseriformes; Anatidae.
UAAUUAGAAGGGAAGGGGAGAAUCUAUCACGUGCUUGCGAGGGAGGGCGCUGUUUUGCUGAAAUAGCACCUGUUCUAGUAGAGUUUAAAACAAGCUCAUAGUGAGAAAAUCAAGGUGCUUGCAACAUUGAGGAUUUUUUCUUCUCUGCAGAACUGGUUUCAGUAGCCAGUUUCCUAUGAGAUCAGUCUUGAACAAACAGAGGAAGGGAGGUUCUGAAUUAAAAAGCAUUUUUACAGCAUCCAGUAAUGCAAUGGCUGGACGACCACGAUGUGUCAGAUUAACUGGGUGGACACACUGGAUAUUAUCAACAAUUCUGCUGCUGUGGAGUUACCAGAUCAGUGGACAAGGACAAGCAAAUAGACCAUUCUUGAAUACAUAAUCAUUUCAAAUGUUUGCUGGGCUUUGGGAGAAAAGUCAACCACCUGUCAUGAUGGCCAUCCUUUAUUUUCAAGUUCCUGAAAUGGUUAUUGUUACAAGCAAGCUGUUGUACUUCUGGUGGUUUGAGGCUUGUUCUGAUUAAAUUUGUACAUCAUACAGACUGCAUAUAUUGGAGAUAUCUUGAAGAUUCCCA